Molecule: ribosomal RNA, 497 nt
Filed under: uncultured bacterium
Lineage: Bacteria
Description: partial 16S ribosomal RNA
Rfam family: Bacterial small subunit ribosomal RNA
Source: RNAcentral
GAUGAACGCUGGCGGCGUGCCUAAUACAUGCAGGUCGAGCGAACAGACGAGGAGCUUGCUCCUCUGACGUUAGCGGCGGACGGGUGAGUAACACGUGGAUAACCUACCUAUAAGACUGGGAUAACUUCGGGAAACCGGAGCUAAUACCGGAUAAUAUAUUGAACCGCAUGGUUCAAUAGUGAAAGACGGUUUUGCUGUCACUUAUAGAUGGAUCCGCGCCGCAUUAGCUAGUUGGUAAGGUAACGGCUUACCAAGGCGACGAUGCGUAGCCGACCUGAGAGGGUGAUGGGCAAGAAGGGAAGAGAGCCCGGGACCAGACUCAUACGGGAGGCAGCAGUAGGGAAUCUUGCGAAAUGGGCGAAAGCCGGACGGAGCAAAGCCGCGGGAGUGAUGAAGGUAUUAGGAUCGUAAAACUCUGUUAUUAGGAAAGAACAAAUGUGCAAGUAACUAUGCCCGUCUUGACGGUACCUAAACAGAAAGCCAAGGCAAACUCGGUG